ACUCCUACGGGAGGCAGCAGUGGGGAAUAUUGGACAAUGGGGGCACCCUGAUCCAGCCAUGCCGCGUGUAUGAAGAAGGCCCUCGGGUUGUAAAGUACUUUCAGUGGUAGGAAGGUUGCGUGGUUAAUACCCACGUAAUUUUGACGUUUAGCCACAGAAGAAGCACCGGCUAACUCCGUGCCAGCAGCCGCGGUAAUACGGAGGGUGCAAGCGUUAAUCGGAAUUACUGGGCGUAAAGCGCAUGCAGGCGGUUAAAUUAAGCCAGAUGUGAAAGCCCGCCAGCUGGAA
Molecule: ribosomal RNA, 288 nt
Filed under: uncultured bacterium
Lineage: Bacteria
Description: partial 16S ribosomal RNA
Rfam family: Bacterial small subunit ribosomal RNA
Source: RNAcentral